GAAAAUCAGAGGCUGCAGGGAAAGGUUUUGAUCAAGGUGAUAUGUACAAUUAAUUACUGUUCGUCACCAUAGCUAGCUGUGGUCUUAAAUUGUUCGUACUCUACGAGAUUGAACCUUUAAGGAGGAUGACAUCGUGGACGUCAUAACGUUUUUAUCAUAUUCUCUCAUGGGGACCAUCGGCUUCUUCUUCAUGACCCCAUCACCG
RNAcentral lists this long non-coding RNA (205 nucleotides) under Carica papaya (papaya). RNAcentral's name for it is "long non-coding RNA (CPAP_LNC008654)". The record is from RNAcentral. Lineage: Eukaryota; Viridiplantae; Streptophyta; Magnoliopsida; Brassicales; Caricaceae.